AACUUGCUCCCGGAUGUUAGCGGCGGACGGGUGAGUAACACGUGGGUAACCUGCCUGUAAGACUGGGAUAACUCCGGGAAACCGGAGCUAAUACCGGAUAGUUCCUUGAACCGCAUGGUUCAAGGAUGAAAGACGGUUUCGGCUGUCACUUACAGAUGGACCCGCGGCGCAUUAGCUAGUUGGUGGGGUAAUGGCUCACCAAGGCGACGAUGCGUAGCCGACCUGAGAGGGUGAUCGGCCACACUGGGACUGAGACACGGCCCAGACUCCUACGGGAGGCAGCAGUAGGGAAUCUUCCGCAAUGGACGAAAGUCUGACGGAGCAACGCCGCGUGAGUGAUGAAGGUUUUCGGAUCGUAAAGCUCUGUUGUUAGGGAAGAACAAGUGCGAGAGUAACUGCUCGCACCUUGACGGUACCUAACCAGAAAGCCACGGCUAACUACGUGCCAGCAGCCGCGGUAAUACGUAGGUGGCAAGCGUUGUCCGGAAUUAUUGGGCGUAAAGGGCUCGCAGGCGGUUUCUUAAGUCUGAUGUGAAAGCCCCCGGCUCAACCGGGGAGGGUCAUUGGAAACUGGGAAACUUGAGUGCAGAAGAGGAGAGUGGAAUUCCACGUGUAGCGGUGAAAUGCGUAGAGAUGUGGAGGAACACCAGUGGCGAAGGCGACUCUCUGGNCUGUAACUGACGCUGAGGAGCGAAAGCGUGGGGAGCGAACNAGAUUAGAUUCCCUGGUAGUCCAC
RNAcentral lists this ribosomal RNA (736 nucleotides) under Bacillus zhangzhouensis. Its description in RNAcentral is "bacterial SSU rRNA". It matches the Rfam family "Bacterial small subunit ribosomal RNA", at positions 72 to 798 of the family's 1533-position model. Lineage: Bacteria; Bacillati; Bacillota; Bacilli; Caryophanales; Bacillaceae. The record is from RNAcentral.